This is a non-coding RNA of Camellia sinensis, 1106 nucleotides long. The record is from RefSeq and is a predicted model, not a curated record. NCBI's taxonomy places the organism in Eukaryota, Viridiplantae, Streptophyta, Magnoliopsida, Ericales, Theaceae.
AAAGAAAUUUGAAACUAUGUUUUUUUGCAUGGUGAAAAGUUGAGCAAUAUUAAGAUGUUAGAUGAAUAACGUUAAUUAAAAUUAAGCUUUCACACCUUCUGAUAUGAAUGUUUCUUUGAUUGUCAGCUGCUAGUGUAGCUUCUCAAUGGUUGGAACUCCUUCAUCAAGACACUAAAGGGCAUCUUGCUGCAUUUCGACGCAGUAAGAAGAGAGAUUAAUCUGUGAUUCAUACAGAAUUGCCUUUGCUAAUGUCACAGGAAUUCUCAUGUAAUCAAAAGAAUGAUCCAUAUGUUAUGAAAAAUUCUGCUGCUGGAUGUGCUCUAACAAUGCGAGUGUGCAUGUUGACGUGCAUCAAGCUAGAUGGAGUGCCCUAUUUGAACAGAUGGAUAAACGCCUUUCUGAAGAAAAAAAACAACUGGUAGUCUCUAGGAGAAUGGUCUGUUUGGAUAUAUUCUAAAGGUGAAAGCCCGUAGUCUAAGCUUUAGUCAUGUAGGACGGGUGCAUGUGCAUCAUCAUGAAACUUAAAAUAUAUUUGAAUUUGAAUUUGAACUCCUCCAACAAAUGACUUAGGUCAAAUCAGAUCAUUAUUCACUUGAUUCACCAAAUUUUUUAGUAGAUUACAUGGACGAGGUGAAGUAAUUCUAAGUCCUCUAGCAUGACAAUCACUGAUGUACCAGAGGUAGGCGAUGGAGAAUCAUUACAUGAACCAGAAGAAAACGAUGUGUUCCAACAAGAAAAUAUUACCGAUGUUGUUCCAAUUGACAUCGGCCCUAAUGUCCAAUGUUAUAGAGAUGGUGUUGAAGCAGAAGUUGUUACAAGGGUUAGGUCAUCUGAUGAAACAAUGAUACAGAAAAGAGCUGACAAACAAAAUGAAGAGUGUGACGAACCUGAUGUGGAUUACGAUAUGGAUCUUGAUGUAGACUAGGAUUUGUAGUUAUUUUGCACUUUCUAUAUGAACAUUGUUCUUAAUAAAUGUAGUUGAAUUUCAGUUGUGGGGUUCAUCCACUGUUAUGUAGGUUUAUCAUUGAUUGGUCAUAUUGUGUGUCUGAUGGCUUUGUAAUUAAUUUGUUCUAUGAUAAGUAAAUGGUAAAAACAAAAAUCAUCCA